This 356-nucleotide long non-coding RNA is filed under the name Fukomys damarensis (Damara mole-rat). Its description in RNAcentral is "lncRNA (ENSFDAG00000028964.1)". Lineage: Eukaryota; Metazoa; Chordata; Mammalia; Rodentia; Bathyergidae. The record is from RNAcentral.
CUAUUUUUUUUGGGGGGGGCACCAAAAAGAGGCAAGUUGUUCUACAUGGGAAUGAAGUUCUGGUGUUGUGGGAGUGUGUGUUCUGUUACAGACCUUGCCAUCGCACAGAGGUUCAAUGUGACACAUCCUCUGCCACUCCAUCUGUCUCUGCCCCCAUGCUGCUGUCUUCAUUGGCUCCUGCACGCGUCACUCACCUUACUUCAUCACCAGCACCCCAGAGAGGCAUCUCUUCUUGUCCUGAUUUUUGACAAAAAUAGCCAUCAAAGUGAAAAACUAGAAUGAAACUGUGCGCUCUCAUCAGCCCAGCUCUGGGACAUUUGGGGAGGGUGAGUAAAGACAGCAGAGGAACAACUGUA